RNAcentral lists this transfer RNA (64 nucleotides) under Palaemon sinensis. Its description in RNAcentral is "tRNA-Phe". The record is from RNAcentral. Lineage: Eukaryota; Metazoa; Arthropoda; Malacostraca; Decapoda; Palaemonidae.
ACUUAGGUAGCUUAUAAAGAGCACUACAUUGAAGCUGUAGGGGAGACAUAUUUGUCCUUGGGUG